This 87-nucleotide transfer RNA is filed under the name Acetobacter sp. CAG:977. RNAcentral's name for it is "transfer RNA-Leu(GAG)". It matches the Rfam family "tRNA". Rfam says of the family: Transfer RNA (tRNA) molecules are approximately 80 nucleotides in length. RNAcentral also lists the same sequence under 1 other name. Lineage: Bacteria; Pseudomonadati; Pseudomonadota; Alphaproteobacteria; Acetobacterales; Acetobacteraceae. The record is from RNAcentral.
GCGGCUGUGGCGGAAUUGGUAGACGCUCAGCGUUGAGGUCGCUGUGGAUUAACCUCCGUGGAAGUUCGAGUCUUCUCAGCCGCACCA